Molecule: ribosomal RNA, 254 nt
Filed under: uncultured bacterium
Lineage: Bacteria
Description: partial 16S ribosomal RNA
Rfam family: Bacterial small subunit ribosomal RNA
Source: RNAcentral
UACGGGGGAUGCAAGCGUUAUCCGGAUUUAUUGGGUUUAAAGGGUGCGUAGGCUGUGAGGUAAGUCAGCGGUGAAAUGCCCCCGCUCAACGGGGUGAAGUGCCAUUGAUACUGCCUUGCUGGAAUGCGGAUGCCGUGGGAGGAAUGUGUGGUGUAGCGGUGAAAUGCAUAGAUAUCACACAGAACACCGAUUGCGAAGGCAUCUCACGAAUCCGCGGUUGACGCUGAUGCACGAAAGCGUGGGUAUCAAACAGG